UGGGGUAUAGCCAAGUCGGUAAGGCAAUGCACUUUGGAUGCAUCAUGCGUAGGUUCAAUUCCUACUACCCCAG
RNAcentral lists this transfer RNA (73 nucleotides) under Vermamoeba vermiformis. Its description in RNAcentral is "tRNA-Gln". It matches the Rfam family "tRNA". From Rfam's summary of the family: Transfer RNA (tRNA) molecules are approximately 80 nucleotides in length. Their secondary structure includes four short double-helical elements and three loops (D, anti-codon, and T loops). Lineage: Eukaryota; Tubulinea; Echinamoebida; Vermamoebidae. The record is from RNAcentral.